AGAAAUAAUAAUAAUAAAAAUAAAAAAGGGCCUCCUCUUUUGUUUUUUGGUUUUCGUCUCCCUCGAUGGCGGUGGAGGAAGAAGCAGCAGCUACUAGAAGGGGAAGGCGAAAGGGAUCACGGACGAUCCUUUGAUGGCGAUAUGUUAGGAAAGUGGAAAUUGUCGAGCGUCUCGUUUCUUCUCAGAGCUUUGCGUUCAACUGGAGAUGUGUUCUUUAAUUUGCUGCCUCAUCUUCUUCGGCCGCGGUGUCAGCAAAAUCAACAAGGGUCAUCGAUGAAGGCCUUCACAGAUUCGGCGUCAGAGGCAUUGUAGCCAAGCCUACCUCGUCAUCAGGAUGCAUGCAGGUUAAGGCAAAUGCCCAAGCACUUCCUAAGGUCAAUGGUUCAAAGGUCGGUCUGGACGCUGAAUACCAAAUAGUUGAGGUAGAAGGUCCCUCUGCCCCGAGGACCUCCUACAACCAAUUGUCAGACUGAAGCUCUCUUUUUGCUGCCAUAGCUACUAUCUUCUUGGCAGCAGAGAAGCAGUUUGCACUAAUUGACUGGAAGGCCAGGAUGCAGGACAUGCUUGCUGAUUCAUUUUGGCUCAGGAAGAUCAUGCAGGAUGGAAUGGUUUUCAGGCAGAAUUUCUCCAUUAGGUCAUAUGAAAUUGGACAGAUCAAGCAGCUUCCAUAGACAUUAAUGAACCAUCAACACUUUGGCUGUAGAUUAUUGCUUGCUUCAUUUAUGUUUUUAUUUUUGAAUUUUGUUUUUCUAACUCCAUUUGAUAUAUGCACUAAUUAGGAAACUGUUCUUAACCAUGUAAGGAGUACUGGGCUCAUGGCUGACUUUGGUUCAGCUCCUGAAAUGAGUAAGAGAAAUUUGAUUUGGGUUGUUACCAAGGUGCAAGUCCUUCCCUCCUGGUAUAUUCCUUUUGAUCAGAAUGUUGUGGUUUCUAGUUAGUUAAAAGCAAAAAAAAAAGGUUUUUUUUUAAUGGUCGAUCCUUGAUCGUUAAGAAAGUUUGUAUGCAUGAGUAAUUUAUUUUGUGCUCCAUUAUUUGUUUUUUGAUCGCUUGUUUUUCUAUUUCAAUCUUGCCCCAGAAUUUGAAGGUACAAAUUUCCAAUUAUCUUCUCAGUUCAUAGUAAAAAUUCAUUGUAGUCUUAUUUGCCAUGACUUAACAGAGUUGCUGAACAGCUGACAACUUGAUACAUCUUUAUGUCUGUAUUCAGCUUUGCUAUGCCGUUCAAAUUCUAGUAUUAUGGUUGUUGGAAGAAAUUGCCCUUUCCUGAGAAAAAGUAUUCAAGCUUGACCGUAGUGUCACAUCUUUAGUCAACUUCUUUCAUAUGUUGUAUGUGUCAGACGGACCUGAGCCUACUUAAUCUUUUUGAUCAAGGAGCUUCAGAUUUUUUAAUAUUUAUUUUCUUUUGUAACAACUUGAUACAUCUUUAGCCUUGCUUUGCUAAAGUAAUUAGUUUCUGUUGAUUACCUAUCCCUUAUAUGUUCUUAAUUUCUUCAUUGGUCAAAUUGAUUUGUUAUGUGUUACUGCCAAUCGAUUACCUAUACAUUAAAUGUUUCUUAGUUUUCAAUCAGAAAAUUUUGAUUUGCUAUGCUUGUCUCCUAUGACAUCCUUAGUUUCCAUUGCUUAUAAAUUUGUAUUUUCUAUUUAUUUCCAGGGAAAGAUGUUGUUCAAGUAGAUACAUGAGUAGCUUCAUUAGGGAAAAAUGGGAUGCGUCCACAUUGGUAUAAUUGUGACUACCAAACUGUUCUGAGAGUGACUAGGUUAAUUUCUGCAUGUUCUCUUGACAUUGUUUUCAUAGCAGAACUUCACUUCAGAUUGUUGAAAAUUUACAAUUGUGUGGGUGAUGAUGAACAAGAAGAGUAGGAGAUUGCUAAAAAUUCCAGAGGUCAGAACAGACAUAGGAUGCUAUUUUGUGGACCACAACCCUAUCAUUGAUGACGAUGGCAUGACAGAAUUGUUGAAACUGGAGGAUUACACUGCUGAUUACAUUCAAACAGGGUUUACUGUAAUUUCGAUGGAAUGGUUUAGAUGUUGACAACCAACAUGUUAACAAUGCCAAAUACAUCGGAUCGAUUCUUGAGGUUAUUUAUUUCAUUGACAUCAGGAAACCACAAGUAUGAUAUUCAUUUAUUUGCUGGUCGGGGCACAUGGUGUUGGGCCUAUAACAUAGCACUGUAGCACCACAUGCUACAUUUUUUUAUUAUUAUCUUCUGUCUCUCAAUUUGAGCACAUUAUGGGCCCUCAUUUCUGUAUCAUUAGCAGCAAAUCUAUUUGGAUGAUCCUCUAUAUUCGCUGAAUAUUCAUCCUGUUGCUUCGAGAUAAUGUUUCCGGUGCCUGCCAAUCAAAUCAUCUGCAUUUAUUGUGGAUGCACGUUUAUA
Long non-coding RNA from Zingiber officinale, 2372 nucleotides. RefSeq lists it as uncharacterized. The transcript is spliced from 4 exons. NCBI's taxonomy places the organism in Eukaryota, Viridiplantae, Streptophyta, Magnoliopsida, Zingiberales, Zingiberaceae. The record is from RefSeq and is a predicted model, not a curated record.